Molecule: ribosomal RNA, 460 nt
Filed under: uncultured bacterium
Lineage: Bacteria
Description: partial 16S ribosomal RNA
Rfam family: Bacterial small subunit ribosomal RNA
Source: RNAcentral
CCUACGGGGGGCAGCAGUGAGGAAUAUUGGUCAAUGGCCGGAAGGCUGAACCAGCCAUGCCGCGUGAAGGUCAGUGCCCUAUGGGCGUUAAACUUCUUUUGUGCGGGAGCAAUAAUGGUCACGUGUGGCCAGACGAGAGUACCGUACGAAUAAGCCUCGGCUAACCCCGUGCCAGCAGCCGCGGUAAUACGGGGGAUGCAAGCGUUAUCCGGAUUUAUUGGGGUUAAAGGGUGCGUAGGCUGGGAGGUAAGUCAGCGGUGAAAUGCCCCCGCUCAACGGGGUGAAGUGCCAUUGAUACUGCCUUGCUGGAAUGCGGAUGCGGUAGGAGGAAUGUGUGGUGUAGCGGUGAAAUGCAUAGAUAUCACACAGAACACCGAUUGCGAAGGCAUCUCACGAAUCCGCGAUUGACGCUGAUGCACGAAAGCGUGGGUAUCAAACAGGAUUAGAUACCCGAGUAGUC